UGUGAGCUCGAUGAGUAGGGCGGGACACGUGGUAUCCUGUCUGAAUAUGGGGGGACCAUCCUCCAAGGCUAAAUACUCCUGACUGACCGAUAGUGAACCAGUACCGUGAGGGAAAGGCGAAAAGAACCCCGGCGAGGGGAGUGAAAAAGAACCUGAAACCGUGUACGUACAAGCAGUGGGAGCCUCUUAAUGGGGUGACUGCGUACCUUUUGUAUAAUGGGUCAGCGACUUAUAUUCUGUAGCAAGGUUAACCGAAUAGGGGAGCCGAAGGGAAACCGAGUCUUAACUGGGCGUUAAGUUGCAGGGUAUAGACCCGAAACCCGGUGAUCUAGCCAUGGGCAGGUUGAAGGUUGGGUAACACUAACUGGAGGACCGAACCGACUAAUGUUGAAAAAUUAGCGGAUGACUUGUGGCUGGGGGUGAAAGGCCAAUCAAACCGGGAGAUAGCUGGUUCUCCCCGAAAGCUAUUUAGGUAGCGCCUCGUGAAUUCAUCUCCGGGGGUAGAGCACUGUUUCGGCAAGGGGGUCAUCCCGACUUACCAACCCGAUGCAAACUGCGAAUACCGGAGAAUGUUAUCACGGGAGACACACGGCGGGUGCUAACGUCCGUCGUGAAGAGGGAAACAACCCAGACCGCCAGCUAAGGUCCCAAAGUCAUGGUUAAGUGGGAAACGAUGUGGGAAGGCCCAGACAGCCAGGAUGUUGGCUUAGAAGCAGCCAUCAUUUAAAGAAAGCGUAAUAGCUCACUGGUCGAGUCGGCCUGCGCGGAAGAUGUAACGGGGCUAAACCAUGCACCGAAGCUGCGGCAGCGACACUAUGUGUUGUUGGGUAGGGGAGCGUUCUGUAAGCCUGUGAAGGUGUACUGUGAGGUAUGCUGGAGGUAUCAGAAGUGCGAAUGCUGACAUAAGUAACGAUAAAGCGGGUGAAAAGCCCGCUCGCCGGAAGACCAAGGGUUCCUGUCCAACGUUAAUCGGGGCAGGGUGAGUCGACCCCUAAGGCGAGGCCGAAAGGCGUAGUCGAUGGGAAACAGGUUAAUAUUCCUGUACUUGGUGUUACUGCGAAGGGGGGACGGAGAAGGCUAUGUUGGCCGGGCGACGGUUGUCCCGGUUUAAGCGUGUAGGCUGGUUUUCCAGGCAAAUCCGGAAAAUCAAGGCUGAGGCGUGAUGACGAGGCACUACGGUGCUGAAGCAACAAAUGCCCUGCUUCCAGGAAAAGCCUCUAAGCAUCAGGUAACAUCAAAUCGUACCCCAAACCGACACAGGUGGUCAGGUAGAGAAUACCAAGGCGCUUGAGAGAACUCGGGUGAAGGAACUAGGCAAAAUGGUGCCGUAACUUCGGGAGAAGGCACGCUGAUAUGUAGGUGAAGUCCCUCGCGGAUGGAGCUGAAAUCAGUCGAAGAUACCAGCUGGCUGCAACUGUUUAUUAAAAACACAGCACUGUGCAAACACGAAAGU
RNAcentral lists this ribosomal RNA (1453 nucleotides) under Escherichia coli. RNAcentral's name for it is "partial 23S ribosomal RNA". It matches the Rfam family "Bacterial large subunit ribosomal RNA", at positions 398 to 1838 of the family's 2925-position model. Lineage: Bacteria; Pseudomonadati; Pseudomonadota; Gammaproteobacteria; Enterobacterales; Enterobacteriaceae. The record is from RNAcentral.